RNAcentral lists this ribosomal RNA (870 nucleotides) under uncultured bacterium. RNAcentral describes it as "bacterial SSU rRNA". It matches the Rfam family "Bacterial small subunit ribosomal RNA", at positions 32 to 896 of the family's 1533-position model. The record is from RNAcentral.
AACGCUGGCGGAAUGCUUUACACAUGCAAGUCGAACGGCAGCACGGACUUCGGUCUGGUGGCGAGUGGCGAACGGGUGAGUAACAUAUCGGAACGUAUCCAAUAAUGGGGGAUAACUAAUCGAAAGGUUGGCUAAUACCGCAUACGCCCUACGGGGGAAAGCAGGGGAUCUUCGGACCUUGCGUUAAUGGAGCGGCUGAUAUCUGAUUAGCUAGUUGGUGAGGUAAAGGCUCACCAAGGCGACGAUCAGUAGCUGGUCUGAGAGGACGACCAGCCACACUGGAACUGAGACACGGUCCAGACUCCUACGGGAGGCAGCAGUGGGGAAUUUUGGACAAUGGGCGCAAGCCUGAUCCAGCCAUUCCGCGUGAGUGAAGAAGGCCUUCGGGUUGUAAAGCUCUUUCGCAAGGGAAGAAAACUUACCUUUUAAUAAAGGGUGAGGUUGACGGUACCUUGAUAAGAAGCACCGGCUAACUACGUGCCAGUAGCCGCGGUAAUACGUAGGGUGCGAGCGUUAAUCGGAAUUACUGGGCGUAAAGCGUGCGCAGGCGGUUUUGUAAGUCAGAUGUGAAAUCCCCGAGCUCAACUUGGGAACUGCGUUUGAAACUACAAGACUAGAAUAUGUCAGAGGGGGGUAGAAUUCCACGUGUAGCAGUGAAAUGCGUAGAGAUGUGGAGGAAUACCAAUGGCGAAGGCAGCCCCCUGGGAUAAUAUUGACGCUCAUGCACGAAAGCGUGGGGAGCAAACAGGAUUAGAUACCCUGGUAGUCCACGCCCUAAACGAUGUCUACUAGUUGUUGGUGGAGUAAAAUCCAUGAGUAACGCAGCUAACGCGUGAAGUAGACCGCCUGGGGAGUACGGUCGCAAGAUUA